This 1646-nucleotide non-coding RNA is filed under the name Saccharomyces cerevisiae YJM1389. Its description in RNAcentral is "15S ribosomal RNA". It matches the Rfam family "Bacterial small subunit ribosomal RNA". RNAcentral also lists the same sequence under 1 other name. The record is from RNAcentral. Lineage: Eukaryota; Fungi; Ascomycota; Saccharomycetes; Saccharomycetales; Saccharomycetaceae.
GUAAAAAUUUUAUAAGAAUAUGAUGUUGGUUCAGAUUAAGCGCUAAAUAAGGACAUGACACAUGCGAAUCAUACGUUUAUUAUUGAUAAGAUAAUAAAUAUGUGGUGUAAACGUGAGUAAUUUUAUUAGGAAUUAAUGAACUAUAGAAUAAGCUAAAUACUUAAUAUAUUAUUAUAUAAAAAUAAUUUAUAUAAUAAAAAGGAUAUAUAUAUAAUAUAUAUUUAUCUAUAGUCAAGCCAAUAAUGGUUUAGGUAGUAGGUUUAUUAAGAGUUAAACCUAGCCAACGAUCCAUAAUCGAUAAUGAAAGUUAGAACGAUCACGUUGACUCUGAAAUAUAGUCAAUAUCUAUAAGAUACAGCAGUGAGGAAUAUUGGACAAUGAUCGAAAGAUUGAUCCAGUUACUUAUUAGGAUGAUAUAUAAAAAUAUUUUAUUUUAUUUAUAAAUAUUAAAUAUUUAUAAUAAUAAUAAUAAUAAUAUAUAUAUAUAAAUUGAUUAAAAAUAAAAUCCAUAAAUAAUUAAAAUAAUGAUAUUAAUUACCAUAUAUAUUUUAUAUGGAUAUAUAUAUUAAUAAUAAUAUUAAUUUAUUAUUAUUAAUAAUAUAUUUUAAUAGUCCUGACUAAUAUUUGUGCCAGCAGUCGCGGUAACACAAAGAGGGCGAGCGUUAAUCAUAAUGGUUUAAAGGAUCCGUAGAAUGAAUUAUAUAUUAUAAUUUAGAGUUAAUAAAAUUAAUUAAAGAAUUAUAAUAGUAAAGAUGAAAUAAUAAUAAUAAUUAUAAGACUAAUAUAUGUGAAAAUAUUAAUUAAAUAUUAACUGACAUUGAGGGAUUAAAACUAGAGUAGCGAAACGGAUUCGAUACCCGUGUAGUUCUAGUAGUAAACUAUGAAUACAAUUAUUUAUAAUAUAUAUUAUAUAUAAAUAAUAAAUGAAAAUGAAAGUAUUCCACCUGAAGAGUACGUUAGCAAUAAUGAAACUCAAAACAAUAGACGGUUACAGACUUAAGCAGUGGAGCAUGUUAUUUAAUUCGAUAAUCCACGACUAACCUUACCAUAUUUUGAAUAUUAUAAUAAUUAUUAUAAUUAUUAUAUUACAGGCGUUACAUUGUUGUCUUUAGUUCGUGCUGCAAAGUUUUAGAUUAAGUUCAUAAACGAACAAAACUCCAUAUAUAUAAUUUUAAUUAUAUAUAAUUUUAUAUUAUUUAUUAAUAUAAAGAAAGGAAUUAAGACAAAUCAUAAUGAUCCUUAUAAUAUGGGUAAUAGACGUGCUAUAAUAAAAUGAUAAUAAAAUUAUAUAAAAUAUAUUUAAUUAUAUUUAAUUAAUAAUAUAAAACAUUUUAAUUUUUAAUAUAUUUUUUUAUUAUAUAUUAAUAUGAAUUAUAAUCUGAAAUUCGAUUAUAUGAAAAAAGAAUUGCUAGUAAUACGUAAAUUAGUAUGUUACGGUGAAUAUUCUAACUGUUUCGCACUAAUCACUCAUCACGCGUUGAAACAUAUUAUUAUCUUAUUAUUUAUAUAAUAUUUUUUAAUAAAUAUUAAUAAUUAUUAAUUUAUAUUUAUUUAUAUCAGAAAUAAUAUGAAUUAAUGCGAAGUUGAAAUACAGUUACCGUAGGGGAACCUGCGGUGGGCUUAUAAAUAUCUUAAAUAUUCUUACA